Molecule: long non-coding RNA, 1776 nt
Organism: Micropterus dolomieu (smallmouth bass)
Lineage: Eukaryota; Metazoa; Chordata; Actinopteri; Centrarchiformes; Centrarchidae
Exons: 2
Source: RefSeq, a predicted model, not a curated record
GGAGGAGAACACCAGACACCUGCUGUUCAGACAGAAACACUUAUCCGUCCACGACAUCCAAGAGGUCGAUGUCACGUGAUGAAGCUGAGAGUCCUGAGGUUCAAGGAGGGACUGUGAAACUGAUGAUCUGCAGCCUCGUCAUGACACAAACACUUCCUGUCGGGUAUUGAAGUAGUACUUCUGUACAGUCAGAGUAUUACCUGCUGUGGACAGGGUUUUGUCCCAGCCCGGCUCAGAGGGAGGACAAAGAGGAGAGGACAGCACAGGAAUUCUUACUAAAGAUUUAUUUAACAAAAUGUAAAUUAACCUCUGGAUCUAAUAAGCAUGUUAAUCAGUAACCUCAGCAGCCUGUUGUGUGUCUGUAUGUGUGCACAGUGAAGUGUGGCGAAAAAAUACACAAGGAGAAACCGAACCCAGACAGCAGGCCAUCGACCCAGAGAGACUGGACCCAGCAACUUAUAGCUCAGCAGCAGCAGAUGGUGAUCAGUAACUGUAGCUGUGUAGAAAUGCAGUCCCAUAGACCUGAGAAACAUGGACCUGAGAAACACGGACCCGAGGACCAUGGACCUGAGGACCACUGUGAUGGCCCCUCUGCAGGGUUCAUACUGUUGUUGGUGUGCUGUCUGUCUCCAGGGCUGCAGACCUGAUUGGCAGAGUAAUCAGUGGCGUGGGACACACCUGGGCCCUGGUGUGCCCCAUGCAUAUAAGCCAGAACAGCAGUCAGUCUGGGUUGGACCUCUUCAUCUCACGGCUUCCUUUGUUUGUUUGGUUUCUUGUCUUUGUUUUCACAGCACAACAUCCAUGCAGCACAUUUUCACUCAUCCACUCCCUACACUACUGACACUACAGAUUCUUCCCACUCACUGGUUUCACUUAUUUUCUUAUUAAUAAAUCACUUUGUUAUUUAGUUUACCCUUGUGUCUCCCGUUUUUGUUACAGUCAAACAUGGACUUGACGACCACAGACCUGAGGUCUUCAGGAAUGUGUUUCAACUGGUUGUAAUAGUUCAUGUCAGUUGGUAUCGGCUGUGUUUCACGCUGUCCAGCUGACCUGCGGCCUCAGCUCAUGAAGUCUUUUGUCCACAGCAGGGACUCGCUCUGCUUCCCGGCCUGGACUCAGACUCUGACUGUGGAUAAGGACCUCGUACAGCCCCUCUUCAAAACACCCAAACUCUCCCUUCAGUGUCCUCUGACUCUUAAAUUUCUGUCCAGCUCAUCUAUAAUUGAAAGAAACAUAAUGAAUUACAGGUUUUUAAUAAUGACCAUCUCUGCAAACUAAACAGUCAGUGUGAGCUCCAGGACUGUGAUGAGGAGGAGGACUCAGGAAGGAUGCUCGUCUUGGUUAAAUAUUAACCACUUGGCGUCUCGUGGAGAUUUCAGGUGUGCAGGAGUCGGUUCACCUGCUGCCAGUCAUCUUCCCUCCGCUCUGCUUCAGAGACCUGGUUCCUGUCUCAACACUCCAGAUCGUAGCCUGAGCCAGGUGUCAGUUUCGGUCCAGGGAAGUUUGUUCUGCCUUGUGUAUCUGACACCUGAACCCGACAGCCUCCUUGUCCGGACCUGACUCCUGCCUCGCUGCAUUUGUGUUUUCACCUACAACAGUUUUAACACAAUAUGUGGCUUUUUAGACCAGAUUUGAUUCAAUAAAACAAUAAGGAGCACUAAAACUGUUUCCUUUCAACCAGCUCAGGGCUUUGUCUGUAAUUCAGUGUGACUAAUAUGUAAAAACUGCAUUUCAGUUUAAUGAGUUAUCUUUUAAAUAAACCUUCAUGGAGACACA